Molecule: ribosomal RNA, 409 nt
Filed under: uncultured bacterium
Lineage: Bacteria
Description: bacterial SSU rRNA
Rfam family: Bacterial small subunit ribosomal RNA
Source: RNAcentral
GUGGCAGCCGCCGCGGUAAUACGGAGGGUGCAAGCGUUAUCCGGAUUCAUUGGGUUUAAAGGGUGCGCAGGCGGAUACUUAAGUCAGUGGUGAAAUCCCGGGGCUCAACCCCGGAACUGCCAUUGAUACUGAAUAUCUGGAAUACGGUUGAAGUGGGCGGAAUGUAGCAUGUAGCGGUGAAAUGCAUAGAGAUGCUACAGAACACCGAUCGCGAAGGCAGCUCACUAAGCCGAUAUUGACGCUCAGGCACGAAAGCGUGGGGAGCGAACAGGAUUAGAUACCCUGGUAGUCCACGCCGUAAACGAUGAUAACUCGUUGUUGGCGACACACAGUCAGCGACUAAGCGAAAGCGAUAAGUUAUCCACCUGGGGAGUACGAUCGCAAGGUUGAAACUCAAAUGAAUUGACGG